GUCAAUGUCUCCCUGAUUACAUCCAAACCCCUGAGGGCAACUGAAUAACAGGCCUUAUGGAAAGUUUGAAAGCUUGGCUUCUUCACUGUGGCUGUUUUAAAAUCAAUACUGUACCUGAGGCUAUCUAGAACCCAUCUGUCCCAGCUCAGAGGCAGUCCAACUUUAUAUUGAACUUGAAAUAGAAGGUGGAGGUUGUGGCGAGGGGGGCGUGGUAAAGGAAGGUCUGCAGCGGGGGAACGAGUGCGGAGAUGAGCGGUGAUAAGGAGCACGGCCAGAGACCAGCCAUCCACCACCAUCGAACGACCCAACAGAAAUGGUUUUAGAGCCCACCGCAGACAAGGGAGACCAGCCUGCCCCAAUCGACAAGACUGAUUCAACAGAGAGGACAG
Molecule: long non-coding RNA, 389 nt
Organism: Rhinichthys klamathensis goyatoka
Lineage: Eukaryota; Metazoa; Chordata; Actinopteri; Cypriniformes; Leuciscidae
Exons: 3
Source: RefSeq, a predicted model, not a curated record